RNAcentral lists this ribosomal RNA (438 nucleotides) under Triticum aestivum (bread wheat). RNAcentral's name for it is "partial small subunit ribosomal RNA". Lineage: Eukaryota; Viridiplantae; Streptophyta; Magnoliopsida; Poales; Poaceae. The record is from RNAcentral.
AUGAUUAGAUAUAAUUUGAGGAAAAGACACAUUAUAAAACCUCUUGACUGUGUCUCUUGCUCUGAUGACGAGACUAACUUUCAUUUGUUUUUUGACUGCACAGUAGCAAAAAACAUCUGGUCUUUCAUUGGUGAUCACUUUAAGAUUCAUACAGGAGCAAACUUCGAAUCUGUUGCUAGAUUUUGGGUCUCUAAUAAGAAGAAUUUGGCUUUGACUACCAUUAGCUCUGCUAUCCUAUGGUGUUUGUGAAAAUAUAGGAACUCUAUGAUUUUUAACAACACUAUUUGGACUUCUAUUACCCAGGUGUGGAGGCUGAUCCUCAGAACUCUCAAGUUCUGGAUGAUCCUGUUCCUGGAGAGUAGCAAGGCGAGAUUGGAGGAAUUCCUGAUAGCGUUAGCAGCCUUCUUUUGGCAACCGCUGCGGAUAACGAGUGGCUGA